RNAcentral lists this ribosomal RNA (456 nucleotides) under uncultured Sphingobacteriales bacterium. RNAcentral describes it as "bacterial SSU rRNA". It matches the Rfam family "Bacterial small subunit ribosomal RNA", at positions 923 to 1382 of the family's 1533-position model. The record is from RNAcentral. Lineage: Bacteria; Pseudomonadati; Bacteroidota; Sphingobacteriia; Sphingobacteriales.
GCACAAGCGGUGAGCAUGUGGUUUAAUUCGAUGAUACGCGAGGAACCUUACCUGGGCUCAAAUGUAUGUUGACGUAUUCUGAAAGGGAUACUUCUUCGGACAAUAUACAAGGUGCUGCAUGGUUGUCGUCAGCUCGUGCCGUGAGGUGUCGGGUUAAGUCCCAUAACGAGCGCAACCCCUAUCAUUAGUUGCCAUCAGGUCAAGCUGGGGACUCUAAUGAAACUGCCUACGCAAGUAGUGAGGAAGGUGGGGAUGACGUCAAGUCAUCAUGGCCCUUACGGCCUGGGCUACACACGUGCUACAAUGGUCGGUACAAAGGGUUGCCAAGCCGCGAGGUGGAGCUAAUCCCAUAAAACCGAUCGUAGUCCGGAUCGCAGUCUGCAACUCGACUGCGUGAAGUCGGAAUCGCUAGUAAUCGUGAAUCAGAAUGUCACGGUGAAUACGUUCCCGGGCCUU